AAUUGAAGGGUUUGAUCCUGGCUCAGAAUGAACGUUGGCGGCGUGGAUUAGGCAUGCAAGUCGAGCGAGAAAUUCUUUUUUGAUUUCUUCGGAAUGAUUAUUUGAAUGGACAGCGGCGCAAGGGAGAGUAACGCGUGGAAGUUUACCUUGAGGAUCGGGAUAGCUGUGGGAAACUACAGGUAAUACCGAAUAAUGUCUCCGGACCAAAUCUUUUUGGCCUCAAGAGAACUCCGCGUCCUACUAGCUUGUUGGUAGUGUAACGGACUACCAAGGCUAUGAUGGGUAGCGGGUGUGAGAGCAUGACCCGUCUCACUGGGACUGAGACACUGCCCAGACACCUACGGGUGGCUGCAGUCGAGAAUCUUCGGCAAUGGACGAAAGUCUGACCGAGCGACGCCGCGUGCGGGAUGAAGGCCUUCGGGUUGUAAACCGCUGUCAGAGGGGAGGAAAGCUUCGGCUUGACUGAACCUCAGAGGAAGCACGGGCUAAGUUCGUGCCAGCAGCCGCGGUAAGACGAACCGUCCAAACGUUAUUCGGAAUCACUGGGCUUAAAGAGUACGUAGGCGGACCAGUAGGGGCUUUGUGAAAUCCCUCGGCUCAACCGAGGAACUGCAGGGCAAACCCCUGGUCUCGAGACAGGUAGGGGUCGUCGGAACGCUAGGUGGAGUGGUGAUAUGCGUUGAUAUCUAGCGGAACGCCGAAGGAGAAGUCAGGCGACUGGGCCUGUUCUGACGCUGAGACACGAAAGCGUGGGGAGCGAACGGGAUUAGAUACCCCGGUAGUCCACGCCGUAAACGAUGUGCACUAGGUUGGGGAGGUUUUGACGCCGUUCCCGGCCGAAGCAAAAGUGUUAAGUGCACCGCCUGGGGAGUACGGUCGCAAGGCUAAAACUCAAAGGAAUUGACGGGGGCUCACACAAGCGGUGGAGCAUGUGGCUUAAUUCGAUGCAACGCGAAGAACCUUAUCCUGGGUUUGACAUGUAUGGAUUAACUCCCUGAAAGGGGAGCCACGCCCUCGUGGUGGAACAUACACAGGUGCUGCAUGGCUGUCGUCAGCUCGUGCUGUGAAGUGUCGGGUUAAGUCCCUUAACGAGCGCAACCCCUAUCGCUAGUUGCCAGC
RNAcentral lists this ribosomal RNA (1119 nucleotides) under Planctomycetaceae bacterium. RNAcentral describes it as "bacterial SSU rRNA". It matches the Rfam family "Bacterial small subunit ribosomal RNA", at positions 1 to 1122 of the family's 1533-position model. The record is from RNAcentral. Lineage: Bacteria; Pseudomonadati; Planctomycetota; Planctomycetia; Planctomycetales; Planctomycetaceae.